RNAcentral lists this long non-coding RNA (258 nucleotides) under Chinchilla lanigera (long-tailed chinchilla). RNAcentral's name for it is "lncRNA (ENSCLAG00000025101.1)". Lineage: Eukaryota; Metazoa; Chordata; Mammalia; Rodentia; Chinchillidae. The record is from RNAcentral.
UCGCCAAUGCUCUGAAUCCUCUGCAACCAUGACCCAAGGACUGGGGGCUGCAGUGGAGAAGGUGUGUGACAGCUGUAGUGCAGCCUGUGUGGCCAGAAACUCGACCUGGUUUUGGCCCUUGGAGGCAGUACCCAGAGAGGCAGUGGUUGCUGUGGGUGGCCUGUGAGACACAGGUGCCCGCUGUGGCUGCUGGUGGCAAGAGUACGUUGGAUCUCCACAUACCUAACAGCAAAGCACAAAGUAUGUAUCCUGCUUUCU